This is a long non-coding RNA of Synchiropus splendidus (mandarinfish), 355 nucleotides long. RefSeq lists it as uncharacterized. The transcript is spliced from 3 exons. Lineage: Eukaryota; Metazoa; Chordata; Actinopteri; Syngnathiformes; Callionymidae. The record is from RefSeq and is a predicted model, not a curated record.
GUCAGAUCAUGCCUUGACUUUCACUCCUGGUUCCUGCCACAUAGAGAGACUUUCCCUUUUUGAACCACUCCACCUAGGUUUGACUCAGCCAACAGAGCUGAUCUCCUGGAGGACCAGAGACGGGAAGCAGCAGCUGAGACCUGCUGUGGUGUCGGAGCUUCGGACACGCGGUGCAUCGCCCAGAUUUUAGAAGGUGUGUGGAAGCCAUGUCGUGGAAUGGGUCCUGUAAAAAGUCAGAUCUGGAUGUGCAGGUGAAGUCCACUGGCUGGGACGUUCAAGACCAUCCACCAGGUGGGUCACAUUCCAUCAGAGAGCCACUGCACCAGACUGUGUCCCAGGGUGGACAAUCUCCACC